Long non-coding RNA from Erpetoichthys calabaricus (reedfish), 516 nucleotides. RefSeq lists it as uncharacterized. NCBI's taxonomy places the organism in Eukaryota, Metazoa, Chordata, Cladistia, Polypteriformes, Polypteridae. The record is from RefSeq and is a predicted model, not a curated record. The transcript is spliced from 3 exons.
UGGAUUAUGUGACACUUGUAGGGUGUGAUUUUUUCAUUGGAGUUUUUAUACUUUUUUCUUUUGUACAAUGUUGUUCCCCAUAGAUGGCAGUUCUAUCAGAAGCUUUAUAUCCAUUCUGCAUAAAAACUUUAGAUUAAAAAUUAUCUCAAUCACACAAUUACAUAGUUUACAUUUGGUCCAAUUUGUAAACAAAAAGUACCGUAAUUUAAUACUGUUAUGUCUCCUUCUAAAUAAAAACAGCUACAUCAGACACACAAUUGCAAGUGGCUAUCAGUAGAGCAUCCAGCAUUUUAAGCCUUUCUGGGUGUUUCAGAAAAAUCACCUUGGAAAAUAAAGGAGCUGUUACCAAAGAUGUGGCACAUUGGUAUGUGUUACAGAGAACAAGAACUCCAUUUGAAAGAUUUCAAGAAGGACUGCAGAGCCUUGGAGUUCUUUCAGCAUUUCAGCAGUUUCCACAGAAGCUUCAAUCCCUUUUUAUUAAAUUGGAGAAAAAAUUAACAACUAUUGAGGUUGAAC